CAACGCCGCGUGGGGAUGAAGCUUUUCGGAGUGUACACCCUUUCGACCGGAAGAAAGCCCGCAAGGGUUUGACGGUACGGGUAUAAGAAGCCCGGCUAACUACGUGC
This 107-nucleotide ribosomal RNA is filed under the name uncultured bacterium. RNAcentral describes it as "partial 16S ribosomal RNA". The record is from RNAcentral.